UACACUCCUGCGGGAGGCAGCAGUGGGGAAUAUUGCACAAUGGGCGGAAGCCUGAUGCAGCAACGCCGCGUGCGGGAUGACGGCCUUCGGGUUGUAAACCGCUUUCGCCUGUGACGAAGCGUGAGUGACGGUAAUGGGUAAAGAAGCACCGGCUAACUACGUGCCAGCAGCCGCGGUGAUACGUAGGGUGCGAGCGUUGUCCGGAUUUAUUGGGCGUAAAGGGCUCGUAGGUGGUUGAUCGCGUCGGAAGUGUAAUCUUGGGGCUUAACCCUGGGCGUGCUUUCGAUACGGGUUGACUUGAGGAAGGUAGGGGAGAAUGGAAUUCCUGGUGGAGCGGUGGAAUGCGCAGAUAUCAGGAGGAACACCAGUGGCGAAGGCGGUUCUCUGGGCCUUUCCUGACGCUGAGGAGCGAAAGCGUGGGGAGCGAACAGGCUUAGAUACCCCUGUAGUCCC
Molecule: ribosomal RNA, 453 nt
Filed under: uncultured organism
Description: partial 16S ribosomal RNA
Rfam family: Bacterial small subunit ribosomal RNA
Source: RNAcentral